GGGGCUAUGGCGCAAUUGGUAGCGCACCUGCUUUGCAAGCAGGGGGUUACGGGUUCGAGUCCCGUUAGCUCCACAA
RNAcentral lists this transfer RNA (76 nucleotides) under Actinomyces massiliensis F0489. RNAcentral describes it as "tRNA-Ala". It matches the Rfam family "tRNA". Rfam says of the family: Transfer RNA (tRNA) molecules are approximately 80 nucleotides in length. Their secondary structure includes four short double-helical elements and three loops (D, anti-codon, and T loops). Lineage: Bacteria; Bacillati; Actinomycetota; Actinomycetes; Actinomycetales; Actinomycetaceae. The record is from RNAcentral. RNAcentral also lists the same sequence under 4 other names.